This 483-nucleotide ribosomal RNA is filed under the name Veillonella dispar. RNAcentral's name for it is "bacterial SSU rRNA". It matches the Rfam family "Bacterial small subunit ribosomal RNA", at positions 28 to 480 of the family's 1533-position model. The record is from RNAcentral. Lineage: Bacteria; Bacillati; Bacillota; Negativicutes; Veillonellales; Veillonellaceae.
GACGAACGCUGGCGGCGUGCUUAACACAUGCAAGUCGAACGAAGAGCGAUGGAAGCUUGCUUCUAUCAAUCUUAGUGGCGAACGGGUGAGUAACGCGUAAUCAACCUGCCCUUCAGAGGGGGACAACAGUUGGAAACGACUGCUAAUACCGCAUACGAUCUAAUCUCGGCAUCGAGGAAAGAUGAAAGGUGGCCUCUAUUUAUAAGCUAUCACUGAAGGAGGGGAUUGCGUCUGAUUAGCUAGUUGGAGGGGUAACGGCCCACCAAGGCGACGAUCAGUAGCCGGUCUGAGAGGAUGAACGGCCACAUUGGGACUGAGACACGGCCCAGACUCCUACGGGAGGCAGCAGUGGGGAAUCUUCCGCAAUGGACGAAAGUCUGACGGAGCAACGCCGCGUGAGUGAUGACGGCCUUCGGGUUGUAAAGCUCUGUUAAUCGGGACGAAAGGCCUUCUUGCGAAUAGUGAGAAGGAUUGACGGUACCG